This 550-nucleotide ribosomal RNA is filed under the name uncultured Prochloron sp. Its description in RNAcentral is "bacterial SSU rRNA". It matches the Rfam family "Bacterial small subunit ribosomal RNA", at positions 256 to 819 of the family's 1533-position model. The record is from RNAcentral. Lineage: Bacteria; Bacillati; Cyanobacteriota; Cyanophyceae; Chroococcales; Prochloraceae.
GGUAAAAGCCUACCCAAGGCGACGAUCGGUAGCUGGUCUGAGAGGAUGAUCAGCCACACUGGGGCUGAGACACGGCCCAGACUCCUACGGGAGGCAGCAGUGGGGAAUUUUCCGCAAUGGGCGAAAGCCUGACGGAGCAAUACCGCGUGAGGGAAGAAGGCUUUUGGGUUGUAAACCUCUUUUGUCAGGGAAGAAGAAUUGACGGUACCUGAAGAAAAAGCAUCGGCUAACUCCGUGCCAGCAGCCGCGGUAGGACGGAGGAUGCAAGCGUUAUCCGGAAUUAUUGGGCGUAAAGCGUCCGCAGGUGGUUUUUCAAGUCUGCUGUCAAAGGCGGUAGCUCAACUACCGUAAGGCAGUGGAAACUGAGAGACUAGAGAGUGGUAGGGGUAGAGGGAAUUCCCAGUGUAGCGGUGAAAUGCGUAGAGAUUGGGAAGAACACCGGUGCCGAAAGCGCUCUACUGGACCACAACUGACACUCAGAGGACGAAAGCUAGGGUAGCGAAAGGGAUUAGAUACCCCUGUAGUCCUAGCCGUAAACGAUGGAUACUUG